RNAcentral lists this ribosomal RNA (427 nucleotides) under uncultured Bacillus sp. Its description in RNAcentral is "bacterial SSU rRNA". It matches the Rfam family "Bacterial small subunit ribosomal RNA", at positions 356 to 774 of the family's 1533-position model. The record is from RNAcentral. Lineage: Bacteria; Bacillati; Bacillota; Bacilli; Caryophanales; Bacillaceae.
AGGGAAUCUUCCGCAAUGGACGAAAGUCUGACGGAGCAACGCCGCGUGAGCGAAGAAGGUCUUCGGAUCGUAAAGCUCUGUUGUUAGGGAAGAACAAGUACCGGAGUAACUGCCGGUACCUUGACGGUACCUAUCAUAGAAAGCCACGGCUAACUACGUGCCAGCAGCCGCGGUAAUACGUAGGUGGCAAGCGUUGUCCGGAUUUAUUGGGCGUAAAGCGCGCGCAGGCGGUCCUUUAAGUCUGAUGUGAAAUCUUGCGGCUCAACCGUAAGCGGUCAUUGGAAACUGGGGGACUUGAGUGCAGGAGAGGAAAGCGGAAUUCCACGUGUAGCGGUGAAAUGCGUAGAGAUGUGGAGGAACACCAGUGGCGAAGGCGGCUUUCUGGCCUGUAACUGACGCUGAGGCGCGAAAGCGUGGGGAGCAAACA